UACGGAGGGGGCUAGCGUUGUUCGGAAUUACUGGGCGUAAAGCGCACGUAGGCGGCUUUGUAAGUUAGAGGUGAAAGCCCGGGGCUCAACUCCGGAAUUGCCUUUAAGACUGCAUCGCUAGAAUUGUGGAGAGGUAAGUGGAAUUCCGAGUGUAGAGGUGAAAUUCGUAGAUAUUCGGAAGAACACCAGUGGCGAAGGCGACUUACUGGACACAUAUUGACGCUGAGGUGCGAAAAGCGUGGGGAGCAAACAGG
Molecule: ribosomal RNA, 254 nt
Filed under: uncultured bacterium
Lineage: Bacteria
Description: partial 16S ribosomal RNA
Rfam family: Bacterial small subunit ribosomal RNA
Source: RNAcentral